GACGAACGCUGGCGGCGUGCCUAAUACAUGCAAGUCGAACGCUUCUUUCCUCCCGAGUGCUUGCACUCAAUUGGAAAGAGGAGUGGCGGACGGGUGAGUAACACGUGGGUAACCUACCCAUCAGAGGGGGAUAACACUUGGAAACAGGUGCUAAUACCGCAUAACAGUUUAUGCCGCAUGGCAUAAGAGUGAAAGGCGCUUUCGGGUGUCGCUGAUGGAUGGACCCGCGGUGCAUUAGCUAGUUGGUGAGGUAACGGCUCACCAAGGCCACGAUGCAUAGCCGACCUGAGAGGGGGAUCGGCCACACUGGGACUGAGACACGGCCCAGACUCCUACGGGAGGCAGCAGUAGGGAAUCUUCGGCAAUGGACGAAAGUCUGACCGAGCAACGCCGCGUGAGUGAAGAAGGUUUUCGGAUCGUAAAACUCUGUUGUUAGAGAAGAACAAGGACGUUAGUAACUGAACGUCCCCUGACGGUAUCUAACCAGAAAGCCACGGCUAACUACGUG
Molecule: ribosomal RNA, 508 nt
Filed under: uncultured bacterium
Lineage: Bacteria
Description: partial 16S ribosomal RNA
Rfam family: Bacterial small subunit ribosomal RNA
Source: RNAcentral